This 497-nucleotide ribosomal RNA is filed under the name uncultured bacterium. RNAcentral's name for it is "partial 16S ribosomal RNA". It matches the Rfam family "Bacterial small subunit ribosomal RNA", at positions 28 to 507 of the family's 1533-position model. The record is from RNAcentral.
GAUGAACGCUGGCGGCGUGCCUAAUACAUGCAAGUCGAGCGAACAGACGAGGAGCUUGCUCCUCUGACGUUAGCGGCGGACGGGUGAGUAACACGUGGAUAACCUACCUAUAAGACUGGGAUAACUUCGGGAAACCGGAGCUACUACCGGAUAAUAUAUUGAACCGCAUGGUUCAAUAGUGAAAGACGGUUUUGCUGUCACUUAUAGAUGGAUCCGCGCCGCAUUAGCUAGUUGGUAAGGUAACGGCUUACCAAGGCAACGAUGCGUAGCCGACCUGAGAGGGUGAUGGGCCACACUGGAACUGAGACACGGUCCAGACUCCUACGGGAGGCAGCAGUAGGGAAUCUUCCGCAAUGGGCGAAAGCCUGACGGAGCAACGCCGCGUGAGUGAUGAAGGUCUUCGGAUCGUAAAACUCUGUUAUUAGGGAAGAACAAAUGUGUAAGUAACUAUGCACGUCUUGACGGUACCUAAUCAGAAAGCCACGGCUAACUACGUG